Molecule: small nuclear RNA, 18 nt
Filed under: Arabidopsis thaliana (thale cress)
Lineage: Eukaryota; Viridiplantae; Streptophyta; Magnoliopsida; Brassicales; Brassicaceae
Description: snRNA_08512
Source: RNAcentral
CGAUAUCUUCUAUUUCUC